GACUACAGGGGUAUCUAAGCCCGUUUGCUCCCCUGGCUUUCGUGCCUCAGCGUCAGGACAGGCCCAGUAAGUCGUCUUCACCACCGGCGUUCCUCUCGAUAUCUACGCAUUCCACCGCUCCACCGAGAGUUCCACUUACCCUUACCUGCCUCAAGCCCGCCAGUUCGCCAAGCAAUUCCCCGGUUGAGCCGGGGGAUUUCACAAGACGCUUAACAGGCCGCCUACUCACGCUUUAAGCCCAGUGAUUCCGAACAACGCUCGCCACCUCUGUAUUACCGCGGCUGCUGGCACAGAGUUAGCCGUGGCUUCCUCUGAGAUUCCUCAACUCGAAAGAUUGUUCACCCUUCUUGCUUGGUAAUCUCUGACAGUGGUUUACAUCCCGAGGGACUUCAUCCCACACGCGGCGUCGCUGGGUCAGGCUUGCGCCCAUUGCCCAAUAUUCGUUACUGCAGCCCCCCGUAGG
RNAcentral lists this ribosomal RNA (463 nucleotides) under uncultured bacterium. RNAcentral's name for it is "partial 16S ribosomal RNA". The record is from RNAcentral.